GAGGUUGUGGUUCAGUGGUAGAACACUCGCCUAGCAUGUGCGAAGCCCUGGGUUUGAUCCUUAGCACCACA
This 71-nucleotide transfer RNA is filed under the name Marmota monax (woodchuck). Its description in RNAcentral is "tRNA.Ala". The record is from RNAcentral. Lineage: Eukaryota; Metazoa; Chordata; Mammalia; Rodentia; Sciuridae.